This 396-nucleotide ribosomal RNA is filed under the name uncultured bacterium. Its description in RNAcentral is "bacterial SSU rRNA". It matches the Rfam family "Bacterial small subunit ribosomal RNA", at positions 28 to 424 of the family's 1533-position model. The record is from RNAcentral.
GACGAACGCUGGCGGCGUGCCUAACACAUGCAAGUCGAACGGAGUGAUGACUUCGGUUAUCACUUAGUGGCGAACGGGUGAGUAACGCGUGAGAAACCUGCCUUUCAGUGGGGGACAACAGUUGGAAACGACUGCUAAUACCGCAUAAUGUUAUCGAGCGGCAUCGCUUGAUAACCAAAGCUUUAUGUGCUGAAAGAUGGUCUCGCGUCUGAUUAGCUAGUUGGUGAGGUAACGGCUCACCAAGGCGACGAUCAGUAGCCGGUCUGAGAGGAUGAACGGCCACAUUGGGACUGAGAUACGGCCCAGACUCCUACGGGAGGCAGCAGUGGGGAAUAUUGGGCAAUGGGGGAAACCCUGACCCAGCAACGCCGCGUGAAGGAAGAAGGCCUUCGGGUU